Molecule: ribosomal RNA, 505 nt
Filed under: uncultured bacterium
Lineage: Bacteria
Description: bacterial SSU rRNA
Rfam family: Bacterial small subunit ribosomal RNA
Source: RNAcentral
CGUGCCUAAUACAUGCAAGUCGAACGGUCUUUCUAUGGAAGCUUGCUUCCGCUGAGAAGAUAGUGGCGAACGGGUGAGUAACACGUGGGGUAACCUGCCCAUAAGAGGGGGGAUAACAUCCGGAAACGGGUGCUAAUACCGCAUAGUUUUCUUGAUCGCAUGAUCGGGAAAGAAAAGACGGCCUUUGUGCUGUCGCUUAUGGAUGGACCCGCGGCGUAUUAGUUAGUUGGUGAGGUAACGGCUCACCAAGACGAUGAUACGUAGCCGACCUGAGAGGGUGAUCGGCCACAUUGGGACUGAGACACGGCCCAAACUCCUACGGGAGGCAGCAGUAGGGAAUCUUCCGCAAUGGACGAAAGUCUGACGGAGCAACGCCGCGUGAGUGAAGAAAAGGUUUUCGGAUCGUAAAACUCUGUUGUCAGAGAAGAACAAGUUGGAGAGUAACUGCUCCAGCCUUGACGGUAUCUGACCAGAAAGCCACGGCUAACUACGUGCCAGCAGCCGC